UAGUUUGAGGAGGAUUUUUUGGAAACAAGAGAGCAGUAUCUCAAGUUAAUUCAAGGUAAGACUUGAGUUUGCAUGCUUGGUCAAAGAGGAUGACCUUCCAGAUAGAAUGGCACCAUGCUUCGGUCAAGGGUAUAUGAUAGCUGUGCUUCCCUGCUAGAACCUCCAAACAAGCUCAAGAUCCAUUUAUAGCAAGACCACAGGCAUAUCUAAAUGAGAUCCUUCAUAUGGUAGUCUGCUUUUCUCU
This 244-nucleotide small nuclear RNA is filed under the name Alligator mississippiensis (American alligator). Its description in RNAcentral is "7SK RNA". It matches the Rfam family "7SK RNA". From Rfam's summary of the family: 7SK was discovered as an abundant small nuclear RNA in the mid-70s but a possible function has only recently been suggested. Two independent studies have found that 7SK RNA binds the CDK9/cyclin T complex (known as elongation factor P-TEFb). The record is from Rfam by way of RNAcentral. Lineage: Eukaryota; Metazoa; Chordata; Crocodylia; Alligatoridae.